This 497-nucleotide ribosomal RNA is filed under the name uncultured bacterium. Its description in RNAcentral is "partial 16S ribosomal RNA". It matches the Rfam family "Bacterial small subunit ribosomal RNA", at positions 28 to 507 of the family's 1533-position model. The record is from RNAcentral.
GACGAACGCUGGCGGCGUGCCUAAUACAUGCAAGUAGAACGCUGAAGAGAGGAGCUUGCUCUUCUUGGAUGAGUUGCGAACGGGUGAGUAACGCGUAGGUAACCUGCCUUGUAGCGGGGGAUAACUAUUGGAAACGAUAGCUAAUACCGCAUAACAAUGGAUGACACAUGUCAUUUAUUUGAAAGGGGCAAUUGCUCCACUACAAGAUGGACCUGCGUUGUAUUAGCUAGUAGGUGAGGUAACGGCUCACCUAGGCGACGAUACAUAGCCGACCUGAGAGGGUGAGCGGCCACACUGGGACUGAGACACGGCCCAGACUCCUACGGGAGGCAGCAGUAGGGAAUCUUCGGGAAUGGGGGCAAUCCUGACCGAGCAACGCCGCGUGAGUGAAGAAGGUUUUCGGAUCGUAAAGCUCUGUUGUAAGUCAAGAACGAGUGUGAGAGUGGAAAGUUCACACUGUGACGGUAGCUUACCAGAAAGGGACGGCUAACUACGUG